This 427-nucleotide ribosomal RNA is filed under the name uncultured bacterium. RNAcentral describes it as "bacterial SSU rRNA". It matches the Rfam family "Bacterial small subunit ribosomal RNA", at positions 424 to 842 of the family's 1533-position model. The record is from RNAcentral.
CGUAAAACCCUGUUGUUAGAGAAGAAAGUGCGUGAGAGUAACUGUUCACGUUUCGACGGUAUCUAACCAGAAAGCCACGGCUAACUACGUGCCAGCAGCCGCGGUAAUACGUAGGUGGCAAGCGUUAUCCGGAUUUAUUGGGCGUAAAGGGAACGCAGGCGGUCUUUUAAGUCUGAUGUGAAAGCCUUCGGCUUAACCGGAGUAGUGCAUUGGAAACUGGGAGACUUGAGUGCAGAAGAGGAGAGUGGAACUCCAUGUGUAGCGGUGAAAUGCGUAGAUAUAUGGAAGAACACCAGUGGCGAAAGCGGCUCUCUGGUCUGUAACUGACGCUGAGGUUCGAAAGCGUGGGUAGCAAACAGGAUUAGAUACCCUGGUAGUCCACGCCGUAAACGAUGAAUGCUAAGUGUUGGAGGGUUUCCGCCCUUCA